RNAcentral lists this long non-coding RNA (244 nucleotides) under Elaeis guineensis (African oil palm). RNAcentral describes it as "long non-coding RNA (EGUI_LNC045329)". The record is from RNAcentral. Lineage: Eukaryota; Viridiplantae; Streptophyta; Magnoliopsida; Arecales; Arecaceae.
GUGUCUAAGGUAAGAGGUUACAAAGGCUAAGCCUAAGUGGACUCGUGGUUAUUUAAUUGGUUUUCUUAGCUUAUCUGGCCCAUUUAAUUGGUGUCUAAGGCAAGCAAUGGGGGGACCCCUACGAAAAUUGGUGUCUAAGGCAAGCAACGAGGGGACCCCUACGACCCCACCUCUUAUUUGGCUAGUUGAAAGAAGUGAAAACAAACCCAAUUUGCAUUUAGGCUAAGCCACUUUAUAUUGAACU